This 446-nucleotide ribosomal RNA is filed under the name uncultured bacterium. Its description in RNAcentral is "partial 16S ribosomal RNA". It matches the Rfam family "Bacterial small subunit ribosomal RNA", at positions 338 to 795 of the family's 1533-position model. The record is from RNAcentral.
CCUACGGGUGGCAGCAGUCGAGAAUCAUUCACAAUGGGGGAAACCCUGAUGGUGCGACGCCGCGUGGGGGAAUGAAGGUCUUCGGAUUGUAAACCCCUGUCAUGUGGGAGCAAAUUAAAAAGAUAGUACCACAAGAGGAAGAGACGGCUAACUCUGUGCCAGCAGCCGCGGUAAUACCGAGGUCUCAAGCGUUGUUCGGAAUCACUGGGCGUAAAGCGUGCGUAGGCUGUUUCGUAAGUCGUGUGUGAAAGGCGCGGGCUCAACCCGCGGACGGCACAUGAUACUGCGAGACUAGAGUAAGGGAGGGGGAGCCGGAAUUCUCGGUGUAGCAGUGAAAUGCGUAGAGAUCGAGAGGAACACUCGUGGCGAAGGCGGGUUCCUGGACAUUAACUGACGCUGAGGCACGAAGGCCAGGGGAGCGAAAGGGAUUAGAUACCCGAGUAGUC